Molecule: long non-coding RNA, 463 nt
Filed under: Micromonas commoda
Lineage: Eukaryota; Viridiplantae; Chlorophyta; Mamiellophyceae; Mamiellales; Mamiellaceae
Description: long non-coding RNA (MCOM_LNC000134)
Source: RNAcentral
GAGGAGUGGUUCAAGACUCUGACCACCCUCCCGGCGGCCAUCCGCAUGGCGAUCGAGAUGGGCAUCGUGUCCUCCUCACAGCUGGUUCGGUUCAUGUCGGUGGACAUUCGUCCGUCCGUGGUGCGCGCGGUGUCGCGCUCCACCCCGCUCCCGGUGUCCAGGGCGUUCAUCGGGCGGCUCAUGGCGGAUCCUGCGUUUCUGUGGAAGCUGGGCUUUGAGCAGACGGUGACGAUCGCGGGCGGACUGAUGUACGAGGCGGCGCACCGCGGUGACAGGCUCAAGGACGAGUGGGACCUGGCGGCGGCCAACAUCGCUCAGCUCUCGCUCGUGAACGCCAUGACCGUCUGGUGCCUCACCCCUUGCCGUAACUUUGGCGCGCAGCACAAGCACGCGUGGCAGCGGGUGUUGGACUCUGUCCCCAACAACGCAUUCGACAGGCAGGGCCCGCUGAGGCAGUACACCA